CCUACGGGUGGCUGCAGUAGGGAAUAUUGGGCAAUGGCGGAAACGCUGACCCAGCCAUGCCGCGUGCAGGAAGAAGGCGCUCAGCGUUGUAAACUGCUUUUGCCGGGGAAGAAUGAGCUCUACGUGUAGAGUCAGUGACGGUACCUGGUGAAUAAGCACCGGCUAACUCCGUGCCAGCAGCCGCGGUAAUACGGAGGGUGCAAGCGUUGUCCGGAUUUAUUGGGUUUAAAGGGUGCGUAGGUGGCUUGUUAAGUCUAAGGUGAAAGGCAGUGGCU
Molecule: ribosomal RNA, 275 nt
Filed under: uncultured bacterium
Lineage: Bacteria
Description: partial 16S ribosomal RNA
Rfam family: Bacterial small subunit ribosomal RNA
Source: RNAcentral